GAGGGCGUAGCUCAGUAGGUAGAGCAACGGCCUUUUAAGCCGUGGGUCUUGGGUUCGAGUCCCAACGCCCUCA
RNAcentral lists this transfer RNA (73 nucleotides) under Phycisphaerae bacterium. RNAcentral describes it as "tRNA-Lys". It matches the Rfam family "tRNA". From Rfam's summary of the family: Transfer RNA (tRNA) molecules are approximately 80 nucleotides in length. RNAcentral also lists the same sequence under 1 other name. Lineage: Bacteria; Pseudomonadati; Planctomycetota; Phycisphaerae. The record is from RNAcentral.